RNAcentral lists this ribosomal RNA (253 nucleotides) under uncultured bacterium. RNAcentral's name for it is "partial 16S ribosomal RNA". It matches the Rfam family "Bacterial small subunit ribosomal RNA", at positions 524 to 776 of the family's 1533-position model. The record is from RNAcentral.
UACGUAGGGGGCAAGCGUUGUCCGGAAUCAUUGGGCGUAAAGCGCGUGUAGGCGGUUCGGUAAGUCUGCUGUGAAAGUCCAGGGCUCAACCCUGGGAUGCCGGUGGAUACUGUCGGACUAGAGUACGGAAGAGGCGAGUGGAAUUCCCGGUGUAGCGGUGAAAUGCGCAGAUAUCGGGAGGAACACCAAUUGCGAAGGCAGCUCGCUGGGACGUCACUGACGCUGAGACGCGAAAGCGUGGGUAGCAAACAGG